CUGGCUCUCGCUCUCAGAUUCCUCGGGGUUGGACACACCAUCCAGCGACGUCUGUAGGUAGCGCAGCCCAAUUGUAAUGGUCACCUGGUGGUGGGAGAGGAGAUUUAGAGGCAAUCUGGGAGAAUCGCUGGGAGCUGGACCAUUAGGAAACCACAGGAGCCUCAAAUUGAGGGUCCCAGAGAGGACUCAACCUGAGCACUGUGGAGUGUGGGUUGGUGACAGCCUGCCCCACGCUGCCCUGUCCUCAGUGCUCAACACACCUGACUCUUCUCCAGCCUCAUGUCAGACCCCUCUCCUCCUCCCUUUCCAGCCAUCCUGGGCUGCUUCGGAUUCGCCCAUGCCCCCUACUUUCUCCCCUCUAGGUCUUUACCAUCUGCUAUGCUCUCUGCCUAGAACCUUGCUCCUCUCCACGUUCAUCUGUUAAUUCAUCUUCAGCCCUUGGUGAGCUCCCCGGCAGCUCAUCCUCCCUCCCCAUCCCCUCGGGUCGCCCCCAUCCCAGGUGCAUUAUUCCUGGGUGCCUUCACCUCUACACCCCAUUGCUUGGCACAUAUUGGGUAGUUCAGUAACUGCCUUGGGUGGAAUUAAGAGGUCACCUCCUUUUCUGCAUCUGAUGUGUGGUACUUCUUUUUUUUUUUUUUUUUUUUUUUUGAGACAAGUCUUACUCUGUCACCCAUGCUGGAGUGCAGUGGCGUGGUCUCAGCUCACUACAAACUCUAUCUCCUGUGUUCAAGGAAUUCUCAUGCAUCAGCCUCUUGAAUAGCUAACGUUGCAGGUGCCUGCCACCAUACCUGACUAAUUUUUGUAUUUUUUUGUUGUUAUUGUUGUAGAUAUGUGGUUUCCCCAUGUUGCCAGCUGGCCUCGAACUCCUGGCCUCAAGAUCCACCCGCCUCGACCUCCCAAAGUGCUGGGAUUACAGGUGCGAGCCACCAUGCCCAGCCCUUCCAUUAUUUUGAUGAGCACAGUGAUGAAUGGAUGCUGGUAAAAAAUAAUUUGGAUUUGUUCACUAGCAUUCACUGUGUGGCAGACUUGGUGCCAAAAUGCCUGGGUUCAAACCCGGGCACUUAGCCAGCCGUGUGACCAGGAAACCUCACUUUAUUCAUCCGGUUUGCAGAUUUUCAGAUGAAGUGGUGCCCACCCCGUGUGGAUACUGUGCCACUUUAAUAUGUGUAAAACACACAGGCCAAGUGCAAUGGUGCAUGCCUGUAAUCCCGGCACUUUGGGAGGCCAAGGUGGAGGGAGGAUUGCUUGAGCUCAGGAGUUCGAGACCAGCCUGGGCAACAUAGCGAGACCUCAUCUCUACUAAAAAUAAAAAUAAAAAUAAUUGCCGGGUGUGGUGGCGCGUGCCUGUAGUCCCAGCUACCCGGGUACUUGGGUAGCCAAGAUGGGAGGAUCUCAUGAGCCCCAGAGAUGGAGGCUGCAGUGAGCCAUGACUCCACCACUGCACUCCAGCAAACACCACCACUGUACCUAGUGCACAGUAAGGACCAACAGAAGAGCAGAAGAGUCAGCUGUAGCUGAUAAUUAGCUUAUUGUUUUCACUUUUUUUUUUUUUUGAGAUGGAGUCUCGCUCUGUCACCCAGGCUGGAGUGCAGUGGCACGAUCUUGGCUCACUGCAAUCUCCGCCUCCCGGGUUCAAGCAAGUCUCCUACCUCAGCCUCCCGAGUAGCUGGGAUUACAGGCGUCAAAAACUUGGCACCACGCCUGGCUAAUUUUUAUAUUUUUUGUAGAGACAAGGUUUCGCCAUGUUGGCCAGGCUGGUCUCAAACUCCUGACCUCAGGUGAUCUGCCCGCCUCAGCCUCCCAAAGUGCUGGGAUUACAGGCGUGAGCCACCACACCCUGUUUUCAUUUUUCUAUAAUAUAUUCCGUAUAUUCCGUUAGCCACUUGUUUCUGUACAAAUUCCCGGCUUGCUCUCCUCCACUUCUUUGUAUGGCAUAGCAAACUCUACAAGAGGAUGAAGCUGCUCCCUGAGGGCAGGGAUGGCCCUGACUCAUCUGGCUCACUCAGAAUCCCAGCACCUAGAACAGUACCAGGUAGGGGGAGGGCCUCAGUAAAUCUCUUUUGAAUGAAUGCUCUGGGACAUUUUAUAAUUAUGGCAGUAGAUAAUAAUAACUGAUAGAGUUUUAGAUUUAUGUUACUGCUAUUGUCAACUGGAAGUUGAAUAAAUAUUUUUACAGCAGAAAAAGUCACCUCCUCCAUGAAGUCCUCUUGAUGUGAACGCGUCCACUCUGAUCCCCUCCUGCUUUCCUGAAGGAGGCUCUCUGCACUGGAAUGUGGCCAUCUAAAUUUCCAGCAGUAUGUUCCUCUCCUCAUUCUACCCACCCAAGACUCUGUGUCAAGGAGUCAGCGACCAAUAAAUAGUCAUGAAUAUGCUGUGUUUGCCUCAGCAUUAAAAGAAGGCUUCGGCUGGGCGCAGUGGCUCACGCCUGUAAUCCCAGCACUUUAGGAGGCCGAGGUUGGGGGAUCACCUGUGGUCAGGAAUUCAAGACCAGCCCAGCCAACAUGGUCAAACCUCGUCUCUACUAAAAAUACAAAAUCAGCCAGGCGUGGUGGUGGGCGCCUGUAAUCCCAGCUAUUUGGAAGGGGCUGAGGCAGAAGAAUCACUUGAACCCAGGAGUCUGAGGUUGCCGUGAGCUGAGAUCGCGCCACUGCACUCCAGCCUGGGCAACAAGAGUGAAACUCUGUCUUAAAAAAAAAAAAAGGCGGCUUCCUGGACAUACAGUCACCCUUUAGUUUCAUGUGGUGAGUUAGAGGAGGUGUUUAUCAGCCACAGGCAGGAUGCACUGGCUGAUAGCAUUAGGACAGUGACUCAUUUAAAGGAAUCUUUGGGAAUCUCCUCAAUGGAAAAAGCUUCCUCACCAAAUCUUCCUGGCUUUGUACAUUGGGAUUUUGAAGUUUGGAUUUUCUGCUCUCAAGGUAGCUCAAAGCAGCUACCCUGAGUCACCAUGCCACCUCAUUUACUAACAGGCUCUCAUUCAACACCUGAGCUGUGCCUGGCAUAUGGGUACAUGUUUAAGAAAUAUCUCUGACCACGUGUGGUGGCUCACGCCUGUAAUCCCAGCACUUUGGGAGGCCGAGGCCGAGGCUGGUGGAUUAUUUGAGGUCAGGAGUUCAAGACCAGCUUGGCCAACAUGGUAAAACCCCAUCUCUACUAAAAAUACAAAAACUGGCUAGGCGUGGUGGUGCACGCCUGUAAUCACAGCUACUUGGGAGGCUGAGACAGGAGAAUUGCUUGAACCUGGGAGGUGGAGCUUGCAGUGAGCUGAGAUCGUGCCAUUGCACUCCAGCCUGGGUGACAGAGCAAGACUUCAUCUCAAAAAAAAAGAAAGAAAUAUCUCUUGGCCAGAUGCAGUGGCACACACCUGUAAUCCCAGCACUUUGGGGGACCAAGGUAAGAGGAUUGCUUGAAGCCAGGAGUUAGAGAGCAGCCUGGGCAACAUAGCAAGACCCCAUUUCUACAGAAGACUCUACGGAGUAUGACUCAGGGCACCUGUUUUCAGCUACUCUGCAUGUGCCUAUAGUCCUAGCUACUCAGAAGGCUGAGGUGGGAAGAGCCCUGAGCCCAGGAGUUCAAGGCUGCAGUGAGCUACGAUCAUGCCCCUGCACUCCAGCCUGGGUGACAGGUGAAUUUUUCUUCUUGUCUCUAAAAAAAAUAAUAAUAAACAAUUUAAAAUAAUAAAAAUAAAAAAUGAAUAUCUCUUUAACCAAAGAGCGAAUUCAGCACACUCACCGAGGAUUUGCUUACAUUGCAAGCCCUAUAGCUACAGAGAAACUGAGCGUUGCAGAUAAGAUGAACCCACACAUAACUAGACUAACAGGUAAAUGAGGACCAGCAUCCCAAGAAGCACAAAUCCAAACAGUACCCAUUUCCUGAACACCUGCACAUGCUGUUCAUGUUGCCUCCCAAUAGUCCCCAAAGCUAAGUGCUGUCACCCCAUAUAACAGAGAGGUUAAAUGACUAAGACCUCGGUACCAAAAAGUGGGGACACAGGAUGAACCUCCAAAACAUGCUAACUAAAAGAAGCCAAACGUAAUAUGGGUCCAUUUAUAUGAAAUGUCCAAAAUACAUAAAUCCAGAGAACAGUUGCCAGGGGCUGGAGGGCAGGUUGGGAGGUGGUGACUGCUUCAUGGGUGUGAGAUUUUCUUGGGGGCUGAUGGAAGUCUUUUGGAACUAGGUAGAGGUGCUUGCACAACAUUGUAAAUCAACUAGAUGACACCAAAUUGUUUACCUUUUAUAAAUCUCACCUCAAUUAAAAAAACAAUUGUCGGUCGGGUGCAGUGCUCACACCUGUAAACCCAGACUUCGGGAGGCCGAGGCAGGCAGAUCACGAGGUCAGGAGAUCGAGACCAUCCUGGCUAAUGCAGUGAAAACCUGUCUCUACUACAAAUAUAAAAAAUUAGCCGGGCAUGGUGGCACAUGCCUGUAGUCCCAGCUAUCGGGAGGCUGAGGCAGAAGGAUCCCUUGAACCCAGGAGAGGGAGGUUGCAGUGAGCUGAGAUCAUGCCACUGCACUCCAGCCUGGGCAACACAGAGAGACUCAGCCUCAAAAUAAAAAAAAAAUAAAAAAAAUAAAUUUAAGUGGUGGGAAAGAAACCAAAAAAGAAAUAAAUGAAUAAAUAAAUAAAUAAAUAAAUACAAAAGGUGGAGGCCCUGGGUGGGGUUCAAGCCCAGACUGAUCUGACCCACAGCUCCACUGAAGGCUGUUUCCAAAGAGGGAGGCAUGCUCUCCAAGCCUGGCUCCGCCCCCAUUAGACCCAAAUGGGACCGGAGGCUCUCCUUACCCUCUACCCCCAGCUGGCCCAGGGCCUACCUCGAAGAGCCAAAUGAGGAGCGUGACGACACCCAUGGAGUUCAUGA
This 4856-nucleotide long non-coding RNA is filed under the name Homo sapiens (human). Its description in RNAcentral is "HSALNT0106265". The record is from RNAcentral. Lineage: Eukaryota; Metazoa; Chordata; Mammalia; Primates; Hominidae.